Molecule: ribosomal RNA, 274 nt
Filed under: uncultured bacterium
Lineage: Bacteria
Description: partial 16S ribosomal RNA
Rfam family: Bacterial small subunit ribosomal RNA
Source: RNAcentral
AUACGAGGGGUGCAAGCGUUAAUCGGAAUUACUGGGCGUAAAGCGUUCGUAGGCGGUUUGUUAAGCAAGAUGUGAAAGCCCUGGGCUCAACCUGGGAACUGCAUUUUGAACUGGCAAGCUAGAAUACUGUAGAGGGUGGUGGAAUUUCCAGUGUAGCGGUGAAAUGCGUAGAGAUUGGAAGGAACAUCAGUGGCGAAGGCGGCCACCUGGAUAGAUAUUGACGCUGAGGAACGAAAGCGUGGGGAGCGAACAGGAUUAGAUACCCCGGUAGUCC